ACGGGUGAGUAAUGCCUAGGAAUCUGCCUGGUAGUGGGGGACAACGUCUCGAAAGGGACGCUAAUACCGCAUACGUCCUACGGGAGAAAGCAGGGGACCUUCGGGCCUUGCGCUAUCAGAUGAGCCUAGGUCGGAUUAGCUAGUUGGUGAGGUAAUGGCUCACCAAGGCGACGAUCCGUAACUGGUCUGAGAGGAUGAUCAGUCACACUGGAACUGAGACACGGUCCAGACUCCUACGGGAGGCAGCAGUGGGGAAUAUUGGACAAUGGGCGAAAGCCUGAUCCAGCCAUGCCGCGUGUGUGAAGAAGGUCUUCGGAUUGUAAAGCACUUUAAGUUGGGAGGAAGGGCAUUAACCUAAUACGUUAGUGUUUUGACGUUACCGACAGAAUAAGCACCGGCUAACUCUGUGCCAGCAGCCGCGGUAAUACAGAGGGUGCAAGCGUUAAUCGGAAUUACUGGGCGUAAAGCGCGCGUAGGUGGUUUGUUAAGUUGGAUGUGAAAGCCCCGGGCUCAACCUGAGAACUGCAUUCAAAACUGACAAGCUAGAGUAUGGUAGAGGGUGGUGGAAUUUCCUGUGUAGCGGUGA
RNAcentral lists this ribosomal RNA (586 nucleotides) under uncultured bacterium. Its description in RNAcentral is "bacterial SSU rRNA". It matches the Rfam family "Bacterial small subunit ribosomal RNA", at positions 102 to 684 of the family's 1533-position model. The record is from RNAcentral.